This 484-nucleotide ribosomal RNA is filed under the name uncultured bacterium. RNAcentral describes it as "partial 16S ribosomal RNA". It matches the Rfam family "Bacterial small subunit ribosomal RNA", at positions 30 to 507 of the family's 1533-position model. The record is from RNAcentral.
AUUGAACGCUGGCGGCAGGCCUAACACAUGCAAGUCGAGCGGAUGAAGGGAGCUUGCUCCUGGAUUCAGCGGCGGACGGGUGAGUAAUGCCUAGGAAUCUGCCUGGUAGCGGGGGAUAACGUCCGGAAACGGGCGCUAAUACCGCAUACGUCCUGAGGGAGAAAGUGGGGGAUCUUCGGACCUUACGCUAUCAGAUGAGCCUAGGUCGGAUUAGCUAGUUGGUGGGGUAAAGGCCUACCAAGGCGACGAUCCGUAACUGGUCUGAGAGGAUGAUCAGUCACACUGGAACUGAGACACGGUCCAGACUCCUACGGGAGGCAGCAGUGGGGAAUAUUGGACAAUGGGCGAAAGCCUGAUCCAGCCAUGCCGCGUGUGUGAAGAAGGUCUUCGGAUUGUAAAGCACUUUAAGUUGGGAGGAAGGGCAGUAAGUUAAUACCUUGCUGUUUUGACGUUACCAACAGAAUAAGCACCGGCUAACUUCGUG